This 253-nucleotide ribosomal RNA is filed under the name uncultured bacterium. Its description in RNAcentral is "partial 16S ribosomal RNA". It matches the Rfam family "Bacterial small subunit ribosomal RNA", at positions 524 to 776 of the family's 1533-position model. The record is from RNAcentral.
UACGGAGGGUGCAAGCGUUGUCCGGAAUUAUUGGGCGUAAAGCGCGUGUAGGCGGCCAGAUAAGUCCGCUGUGAAAUCUCGAGGCUCAACUUCGAGCUGUCGGUGGAAACUGUCUGGCUAGAGUCCGGAAGAGGAGAAUGGAAUUCCUGGUGUAGCGGUGAAAUGCGCAGAUAUCAGGAAGAACACCCGUGGCGAAGGCGGUUCUCUGGGACGGUACUGACGCUGAGACGCGAAAGCGUGGGGAGCGAACAGG